Molecule: ribosomal RNA, 538 nt
Filed under: uncultured bacterium
Lineage: Bacteria
Description: bacterial SSU rRNA
Rfam family: Bacterial small subunit ribosomal RNA
Source: RNAcentral
GAUGAACGCUAGCUACAGGCUUAACACAUGCAAGUCGAGGGACCGGCACACGGGUGAGUAACGCGUAUCCAACCUGCCCACCACUUGGGGAUAACCUUGCGAAAGUAAGACUAAUACCCAAUGGUGAUGGAUGGGGAUGCGUCUGAUUAGCUUGUUGGCGGGGUAACGGCCCACCAAGGCAACGAUCAGUAGGGGUUCUGAGAGGAAGGUCCCCCACAUUGGAACUGAGACACGGUCCAAACUCCUACGGGAGGCAGCAGUGAGGAAUAUUGGUCAAUGGACGAGAGUCUGAACCAGCCAAGUAGCGUGCAGGAUGACGGCCUAUGGGUUGUAAACUGCUUUUAUAAGGGAAUAUGUACCUUAUGAAUAAGGACCGGCUAAUUCCGUGCCAGCAGCCGCGGUAAUACGGAAGGUCCGGGCGUUAUCCGGAUUUAUUGGGUUUAAAGGGAGCGUAGGCCGGAGAUUAAGCGUGUUGUGAAAUGUAGAUGCUCAACAUCUGCACUGCAGCGCGAACUGGUUUCCUUGAGUACGCACAAAG